CAGUUUCGUAGCAUUUACAGCCAAGUCAACUAAUUUUACUCUAGAUUGGUCUUUGGAGCUCAUCUUUAUUGAACACAGUGGUAGGCUGGUUGUUCUGGAACAGGAUAUUGCUGCAGGAUGUGAUGUGAUGACAUAUUUCUAAUGGUUUGUUCGCUAAGCUGGAUGGUUUUAUAGUGUCCACACCCACGAGAGUGCAUUUGUCUGGAUUGGAAUCUGGGUCUUAUCUUGAUUGGACACAGUUGUGUUGUUCUGGAACAGGAUGUUCAUGCUGUACAGCAUGAUGGAUUGUUGACAAACACAAGCAGGAAUGAUGUUUUGCAGCGAUGCCACUACUCAAAGAAUCAUUCAGAUUCUUUAGGGGCUCUUUCUGAUUGGACAUAACCUCAUGACUCUUCAAUAAACUGGACUGUCAUAGUGUACUGCAAUCAAAGUAAUGACACCGUACGCAGAUCCAUUUAAAGCUGCGACACGGAUGUGGACUGGUCGUCGACAGCGCCUCGCCGCAAGACCGUAAAUCGAGUUUCAUCACAAGUACUUGUGAUUUGGGUCAGGGUCCUGCUGGACUGUAGGGAGGUGCUGGUGAGCUGUCUGCCCAGCCACGGCUCUUCCCUUCACGGACACCGAGCCAACAACGCCUGGUUAAAUCCUCCAUCCUCCCCCCAUCAUCCCUCCUUCCUCUCUUCUUCCUCCCUCCCUCCCAAUCCCUCCCUCCUCCUCAUCGUCGGGCCUUCGCCGGUGCGGUGCCACGUUGCUUAGAAGGACUUAAUCAAGUGGUGCCGAAACAUACCCAUGCAGAUCAUAUUCUGCUCUUAAAUAUCUUUAAGGUUCUCGUCAAAGUCUUUGCUGCAGUUAAAAUAUAGCAUUUAAACCCACAAGGUCAACUUCCUCACACAUAUGUUUGCCUCAAGGGACAGUUUUGUGCAAACAUUAGGGCAACUGUCACAAUACGAUAUUCUGUCUGUAUGCUACUGCCAUCUAGUGGCUGCUCAAUAAUAUAAGUCCCUUAGGUUUUGUUGACUGAAGCUACUGUGCUUUAUUUAUAUUUGGAACAUCUGAAAAUAUACAUCUUGACCAUGAUAUACUAGCACAUAUUUACAUUCUUAAAAAAACAUUAAAUGGGGAAGUCUUUUGGUUUUUAAGAGCAACAAUGUGUCCUACUCAUAGAAACAUGGAGGUCGAUUGAAUGAAUACAAAGCACACAUUCUAAUAAAUAUAGCUUUUUUUUCUGAAAUGCAUGUAAACAUUUGCAGGACUUUAUCAAAAACUAUAUACAGGGUAAAAUACACUAAUAAUAGAGGUGUAAUAAAUUAGACUGUUGUUGAAAAGUUUAGUUCAAUAGUUGAUUAUAAAAAGUGAAACUUUCCACCCAAUCGGCCUCGCAGGAAACAAAAUGGAUAAUUGCACAAUAAAUUGUAAAAUGCAUUUCUUUCUGAAUAAAAGUGUCCUAAAUGUU
This is a long non-coding RNA of Syngnathus acus (greater pipefish), 1453 nucleotides long. RefSeq lists it as uncharacterized. The record is from RefSeq and is a predicted model, not a curated record. The transcript has 3 exons. Lineage: Eukaryota; Metazoa; Chordata; Actinopteri; Syngnathiformes; Syngnathidae.